Molecule: ribosomal RNA, 497 nt
Filed under: uncultured bacterium
Lineage: Bacteria
Description: partial 16S ribosomal RNA
Rfam family: Bacterial small subunit ribosomal RNA
Source: RNAcentral
GAUGAACGCUGGCGGCGUGCCUAAUACAUGCAAGUCGAGCGAACAGACGAGGAGCUUGCUCCUCUGACGUUAGCGGCGGACGGGUGAGUAACACGUGGAUAACCUACCUAUAAGACUGGGAUAACUUCGGGAAACCGGAGCUAAUACCGGAUAAUAUAUUGAACCGCAUGGUUCAAUAGUGAAAGACGGUUUUGCUGUCACUUAUAGAUGGAUCCGCGCCGCAUUAGCUAGUUGGUAAGGUAACGGCUUACCAAGGCAACGAUGCGUAGCCGACCUGAGAGGGUGAUCUGCCACACCGGAACUGAGACACGGUCCAGACUCCUACGGGAGGCAGCAGUAGGGAAUCUUCCGCAAUGGGCGAAAGCCUGACGGAGCAACGCCGCGUGAGUGAUGAAGGUCUUCGGAUCGUAAAACUCUGUUAUUAGGGAAGAACAAAUGUGUAAGUAACUAUGCACGUCUUGACGGUACCUAAUCAGAAAGCCACGGCUAACUACGUG